UUUUAUGGAGAGUUUGAUCCUGGCUCAGGAUGAACGCUGGCGGCGUGCCUAAUACAUGCAAGUCGAGCGAACAGACAAGGAGCUUGCUCCUUUGACGUUAGCGGCGGACGGGUGAGUAACACGUGGGUAACCUACCUAUAAGACUGGGAUAACUUCGGGAAACCGGAGCUAAUACCGGAUAAUAUUUCGAACCGCAUGGUUCGAUAGUGAAAGAUGGUUUUGCUAUCACUUAUAGAUGGACCCGCGCCGUAUUAGCUAGUUGGUAAGGUAACGGCUUACCAAGGCGACGAUACGUAGCCGACCUGAGAGGGUGAUCGGCCACACUGGAACUGAGACACGGUCCAGACUCCUACGGGAGGCAGCAGUAGGGAAUCUUCCGCAAUGGGCGAAAGCCUGACGGAGCAACGCCGCGUGAGUGAUGAAGGUCUUCGGAUCGUAAAACUCUGUUAUUAGGGAAGAACAUACGUGUAAGUAACUAUGCACGUCUUGACGGUACCUAAUCAGAAAGCCACGGCUAACUACGUGCCAGCAGCCGCGGUAAUACGUAGGUGGCAAGCGUUAUCCGGAAUUAUUGGGCGUAAAGCGCGCGUAGGCGGUUUUUUAAGUCUGAUGUGAAAGCCCACGGCUCAACCGUGGAGGGUCAUUGGAAACUGGAAAACUUGAGUGCAGAAGAGGAAAGUGGAAUUCCAUGUGUAGCGGUGAAAUGCGCAGAGAUAUGGAGGAACACCAGUGGCGAAGGCGACUUUCUGGUCUGUAACUGACGCUGAUGUGCGAAAGCGUGGGGAUCAAACAGGAUUAGAUACCCUGGUAGUCCACGCCGUAAACGAUGAGUGCUAAGUGUUAGGGGGUUUCCGCCCCUUAGUGCUGCAGCUAACGCAUUAAGCACUCCGCCUGGGGAGUACGACCGCAAGGUUGAAACUCAAAGGAAUUGACGGGGACCCGCACAAGCGGUGGAGCAUGUGGUUUAAUUCGAAGCAACGCGAAGAACCUUACCAAAUCUUGACAUCCUUUGACAACUCUAGAGAUAGAGCCUUCCCCUUCGGGGGACAAAGUGACAGGUGGUGCAUGGUUGUCGUCAGCUCGUGUCGUGAGAUGUUGGGUUAAGUCCCGCAACGAGCGCAACCCUUAAGCUUAGUUGCCAUCAUUAAGUUGGGCACUCUAAGUUGACUGCCGGUGACAAACCGGAGGAAGGUGGGGAUGACGUCAAAUCAUCAUGCCCCUUAUGAUUUGGGCUACACACGUGCUACAAUGGACAAUACAAAGGGCAGCGAAACCGCGAGGUCAAGCAAAUCCCAUAAAGUUGUUCUCAGUUCGGAUUGUAGUCUGCAACUCGACUACAUGAAGCUGGAAUCGCUAGUAAUCGUAGAUCAGCAUGCUACGGUGAAUACGUUCCCGGGUCUUGUACACACCGCCCGUCACACCACGAGAGUUUGUAACACCCGAAGCCGGUGGAGUAACCAUUUGGAGCUAGCCGUCGAAGGUGGGACAAAUGAUUGGGGUGAAGUCGUAACAAGGUAGCCGUAUCGGAAGGUGCGGCUGGAUCACCUCCUUUCU
Molecule: ribosomal RNA, 1554 nt
Filed under: Staphylococcus haemolyticus JCSC1435
Lineage: Bacteria; Bacillati; Bacillota; Bacilli; Caryophanales; Staphylococcaceae
Description: bacterial SSU rRNA
Rfam family: Bacterial small subunit ribosomal RNA
Source: RNAcentral